AGCGAACGUUAGCGGCACGCCUAACACAUGCAAGUCGAACGAGAAUGUAGACUUCGGUCUACUAGUAAAGUGGCGGACGGGUGCGUAACACGUGGGUAAUCUACCUUCCGGCGGGGACGAACAGUCCGAAGGAUUGCUAAUACCGCAUACGUCAACGGCGCUUACGGCGCUGUUGGGAAGAUGGCCUCUCCUUGGAAGCUGUCACCGGAAGAUGAGCCCG
Molecule: ribosomal RNA, 220 nt
Filed under: uncultured bacterium
Lineage: Bacteria
Description: partial 16S ribosomal RNA
Rfam family: Bacterial small subunit ribosomal RNA
Source: RNAcentral